This 465-nucleotide ribosomal RNA is filed under the name uncultured bacterium. RNAcentral describes it as "partial 16S ribosomal RNA". It matches the Rfam family "Bacterial small subunit ribosomal RNA", at positions 28 to 507 of the family's 1533-position model. The record is from RNAcentral.
GACGAACGCUGGCGGCGUGCUUAACACAUGCAAGUCGUACGGUAAGGCCCUUUCGGGGGUACACGAGUGGCGAACAGGUGAGUAACACGUGAGUAACCUGCCCACAACUUUGGGAUAACGCUAGGAAACUGGUGCUAAUACUGGAUAUGUGCUCCUGCUGCAUGGUGGGGGUUGGAAAGCUCCGGCGGUUGUGGAUGGACUCGCGGCCUAUCAGCUUGUUGGUGGGGUAGUGGCCUACCAAGGCGGCGAAGGGUAGCCGGCCUGAGAGGGUGACCGGCCACAUUGGGACUGAGAUACGGCCCAGACUCCUACGGGAGGCAGCAGUGGGGAAUAUUGCACAAUGGGCGCAAGCCUGAUGCAGCAACGCCGCGUGCGGGAGGACGGCCUUCGGGUUGUAAACCGCUUUCAGCAGGGACGAAGCUUUUUGUGACGGUACCUGCAGAAGAAGCACCGGCUAACUACGUG